AUCCUUUUGUAGUUCGUAAACUUGAUGAUUGGGUUUUCAUGCUCUUAAGUGAGAUGCGUGA
Molecule: small nucleolar RNA, 61 nt
Organism: Homo sapiens (human)
Lineage: Eukaryota; Metazoa; Chordata; Mammalia; Primates; Hominidae
Rfam family: Small nucleolar RNA U13
Source: Rfam